AGAGAGAUCUACACAAAAAAAUGGCAUUGCCAUUUAUCUCUGUAUGUCUUUUUUGUUUUCCUUGAUCGUGUGGUUAGGUUUUUAUUUGAUGAUGGGGUUGUGGAGAGAAUUUGUUUUUUUUUUUUUUUUUUUUUCAAAUAAGAAGGGAUUAAAAGAGGGGAGGCAUGAGAGGAUAUAGUAAUCCAGAGAUGCCGUUGGGAUUAAAACCACGUCUCAUCAUCAGCAGAAUGUAGUAGAGUUGAUAUUGAGAUAUUUUGUGUUA
This is a long non-coding RNA of Magnolia sinica, 262 nucleotides long. RefSeq lists it as uncharacterized. The record is from RefSeq and is a predicted model, not a curated record. NCBI's taxonomy places the organism in Eukaryota, Viridiplantae, Streptophyta, Magnoliopsida, Magnoliales, Magnoliaceae. The transcript is spliced from 2 exons.